Molecule: long non-coding RNA, 214 nt
Filed under: Zostera marina
Lineage: Eukaryota; Viridiplantae; Streptophyta; Magnoliopsida; Alismatales; Zosteraceae
Description: long non-coding RNA (ZMAR_LNC000502)
Source: RNAcentral
GAUACGGAAUAUCGUCUGCUAGAUAAGAGUGCUGUCCACGACUUUGUUCGAAAAACACCUCGAAAUCUAAAGUCGCCGAGUUUUCCCCUAACUCGCCGACUUAUUUCUUUGUUUUUUGAACAAGCUCGGUCAAGUCAUCCUUUGCUCUGGAACUUGCGUUUUCGCAUAGGUUCGAUUUUUCCCAAGCAAAAAUCGCCUAUCUUGGGCAAACUCG